ACGGCUCAGUAACACGUAGUCAACCUACCCUAUAGCCGGUCAUACCCUCGGGAAACUGAGGUUAACAACCGAUAGAUGAUGAUUUCUGGAACGAUUUAUCGUCGAAAGUUCAGCGAUAGGAUGGGACUGCGGCUGAUUAGGUAGUUGGCGGGGUAAAUGCCCACCAAGCCGAUGAUCAGUAAGGGCUCUUAGCGGAGAAGCCCUGAGAGGGAGUCUGAGACACUACUCCCAGCCCUACGGGGUGCAGCAGUCGGGAAACUUCUGCAAUGCGCGCAAGCGUGACAGAGCAAGUCAGAGUGCUUCUCAUUAUGAGAAGCUUUUAUGAGAUGUAAAAAGUCUCAAGAAUAAGGACUGGGCAAGACUGGUGCCAGCCGCCGCGGUAAUCCCAGCAGUCCAAGUCGCAGCCACAAUUAUUGGGUCUAAAACAUCCGUAGCUCGCUUUGUAAGUCUUUUGUGAAAUCUGGCCUCUCAAGGGUCGGGCGCGCAAAAGAUACUGCAUAGCUAGAGAUCGGGAGAUGUAAGGAGUAUGAACAGAGUAGCAGUAAAAUGCGUUGAUCCUAUUCAGACUAACAAUAGCGAAGGCACCUUACAAGAACGAAUCUGACAGUGAGGGAUGAAGGCUAGGGGCGCAAAUUGGAUUAGAUACCCAAGUAGUCCUAGCAGUAAACCCUGCACACUAAACAUUGGGGCCUCCUCGAGAGGUCUCAGUGCUGAAGGGAAGCCGGAGAGUGUGCUACCUGGGAAGUAUAGUCGCAAGACCGAAACUUAAAGGAAUUGGCGGGGGAGCAC
RNAcentral lists this ribosomal RNA (789 nucleotides) under uncultured archaeon. RNAcentral's name for it is "bacterial SSU rRNA". It matches the Rfam family "Archaeal small subunit ribosomal RNA", at positions 85 to 879 of the family's 1478-position model. The record is from RNAcentral.